AUGGACUUUGUCGCUUCUGCUGAACCACGUCCUUCUAAGCCGUAGGUCACAGGUUCGAAUCCUGUAGGGCGUACCA
RNAcentral lists this transfer RNA (76 nucleotides) under Candidatus Symbiopectobacterium sp. Dall1.0. RNAcentral's name for it is "tRNA-Arg". Lineage: Bacteria; Pseudomonadati; Pseudomonadota; Gammaproteobacteria; Enterobacterales; Enterobacteriaceae. The record is from RNAcentral.